AUUACCAUUCCCAAUUUACUCAUUCUCUCUCUGCAAUUUUCUCUCUUCUCUCUGCCUUUAGCCACGGAAAAUCAUAAUCUACAACGACUCUCAAAGCCGCUCCACUUAUUUCUCUCAAGAAUUGCUCCGAAAUUUUUGUUGCAAGGCUUGCAAAGUCGAUUUGGUCAGCGUGGAUCACUUGAUAGAAUGGAUGGCAUCUAUUCGAGAAAGCCACCAAUGUCAUAGCUGAUGUGGGGAGGUAUUAACAUCAAAAGAGUCCCCGCAAAUAUGUGCACCGUUGUCAACAUAUACUGCAAAUAUUGCCGCCUCAAAGUUGAAUUUGAAGUUGGUCCGAGAAAUGUGGUACAGAACUGCCAUUUGGUGUUUUUCAAGUUUGACGAAAGUGUUCACGGUGUUCCGCCCUAUUUGUGGGCUGGAACAAGUAGUGGGCUUUAAGCCCAAAUGGCAAUUGAAAAAAAAAAAAAAAGAAGAAAGAAGUUUGCUCUCGCAAGCUUAACUCGCGUGCAGCAUUAACAAAAGAAAAAAAGCGCUGCCGUGAGUUACAGCCGAGAGAAAACCAUAGAAAGAGAAUGGAGAAAAAGGAGAGAGAGAAAGAGAAAAAGAGUAGGGUUUUGGUGCUUGUGUAAGAUGAUUGGGUGACAAAAUAUUAUCCGUUUCGGCUCAAAUUUGAUGUGGAGAAUCCUUAUGGCGAGCUCUUCCAAUCUACCGAACUUGAUUUCUCAUUUAGCAUCUCUUUAGUACUCUCUUGAGUACUCCUAUUUUGGUGAGACAUAAGCUUUUCUUUGGUGUUAUUGUUAUUAUCCAUCUUUGAUGAUGAUGUCUAUUGUAAUGACUGAGAAAAUU
Long non-coding RNA from Morus notabilis, 843 nucleotides. RefSeq lists it as uncharacterized. NCBI's taxonomy places the organism in Eukaryota, Viridiplantae, Streptophyta, Magnoliopsida, Rosales, Moraceae. The record is from RefSeq and is a predicted model, not a curated record. The transcript is spliced from 5 exons.